Molecule: ribosomal RNA, 253 nt
Filed under: uncultured bacterium
Lineage: Bacteria
Description: partial 16S ribosomal RNA
Rfam family: Bacterial small subunit ribosomal RNA
Source: RNAcentral
UACGUAGGGGGCAAGCGUUGUCCGGAAUCAUUGGGCGUAAAGAGCGUGUAGGCGGCCCGAUAAGUCCGCUGUGAAAGUCCAGGGCUCAACCCUGGGAUGCCGGUGGAUACUGUCGGGCUCGAGUCCGGAAGAGGAGUGUGGAAUUCCUGGUGUAGCGGUGAAAUGCGUAGAUAUCUGGAGGAACACCGGUGGCGAAGGCGGCAUCCUGGACCGGUAUUGACGCUGAGGCGCGAAAGCCAGGGGAGCAAACGGG